This is a non-coding RNA of Brachypodium distachyon (stiff brome), 125 nucleotides long. The record is from Rfam. NCBI's taxonomy places the organism in Eukaryota, Viridiplantae, Streptophyta, Magnoliopsida, Poales, Poaceae.
GAUUUACUUCCUCCGUCCCAUAAUUCUUGUUGAAAUAUUAUAUGUAUCUAGACGCUUUUUAGGAAUAGAUAUAUCCAUAUUUGGACAAAUUUGAGACAAGAAUUAUGGUACGGAGGGAGUAGAAU